This is a long non-coding RNA of Andrographis paniculata, 777 nucleotides long. RefSeq lists it as uncharacterized. The transcript has 5 exons. The record is from RefSeq and is a predicted model, not a curated record. NCBI's taxonomy places the organism in Eukaryota, Viridiplantae, Streptophyta, Magnoliopsida, Lamiales, Acanthaceae.
CCUCCCCCCAUUUUCCUCUUAUUUUUCUUUUUGUUCUUUUUCUUCUAUGUUCUUCUAUGCUUUCUUCUUCGUCUUCUUCAUUCUUCUUCUUGCGUCUUCGUCUUCUUCUUCUUCGUCUUCCUACAUCACCUUCCUCGGCCGUCCAGCGUGCUCCGCCGCACCCUUCAUCAACCCGUCGAUCGCGCUCCGCCGCUGCCCGCCGAUGUCCUCAAAUGCCAACCCUAAUUUUUCCCGUGUGUGAUACCCGCCAUUGAGGGACAACGUACUUUUAGGCAGAAGUCUAAGCGUCGAUCCAAGCUUGCUGCAUAAUAAUUUGAUUAGUCACGGCAGUAUGGCUAUAAUUGACAUUAUUUCAGGUUAUACCAUUAAUAUAGUAAAGGUUUUUUUCACGGCUGCUACCGUUCCGGAGGCUGCGCUAAUUCACGAACGAUAGCUGAAGUGCAAACACUCUGUGAGUUUGUCCACAUCGAGCCAAUCGACUGGACAUUCAAGGAUCUCGUUCGUCACGCAUAACUGCCGUGUAUGUUCACUUUGAUGCUGCGUGGGGCGAUGCAGCGUUGCAUGUAAUUCUAUGAUGAUAACUUUUGUUUGUGGAUUGAUACUGACUAAGUCCUUUACGUAGGUUGAACUUGCAUAUGUUGCUUCCUUUUGUGUGUUUGUUGCUAUUCUUUGCCUUUGGAUUGUAUAUGUUGGCUGUAUUGCGAACUAGUUAUGUUCCUAGACAGUGCUUACUUGGUGCUACUAAUGAUUGUAUUGCGAACUAGUUAUGUUUUUCGG